GACGAACGCUGGCGGCGUGCUUAACACAUGCAAGUCGAACGGAAAGGCCCUGCUUUUGUGGGGUGCUCGAGUGGCGAACGGGUGAGUAACACGUGAGUAACCUGCCCUUGACUAUGGGAUAACUUCAGGAAACUGGGGCUAAUACCGGAUAGGAGCUCCUGAUGCAUGGUGGGGGUUGGAAAGUUUCGGCGGUUGGGGAUGGACUCGCGGCUCAUCAGCUUGUUGGUGGGGUAGUGGCUUACCAAGGCUUUGACGGGUAGCCGGCCUGAGAGGGUGACCGGCCACAGUGGGACUGAGAUACGGCCCAGACUGCAACGGGAGGCAGCAGUGGGGAAUAUUGCACAAGGGGCGGAAGCCUGAUGCAGCAACGCCGCGUGCGGGAUGACGGCCUUCGGGUUGUAAACCGCUUUCGCCUGUGACGAAGCGUUAGUGGCGGUAAUGGGUAAAGAAGCACCGGCUAACUACGUG
Molecule: ribosomal RNA, 468 nt
Filed under: uncultured bacterium
Lineage: Bacteria
Description: partial 16S ribosomal RNA
Rfam family: Bacterial small subunit ribosomal RNA
Source: RNAcentral